This 83-nucleotide transfer RNA is filed under the name Candidatus Magasanikiibacteriota bacterium. RNAcentral describes it as "Candidatus Magasanikbacteria bacterium tRNA-Leu". It matches the Rfam family "tRNA". Rfam says of the family: Transfer RNA (tRNA) molecules are approximately 80 nucleotides in length. Their secondary structure includes four short double-helical elements and three loops (D, anti-codon, and T loops). Further hydrogen bonds mediate the characteristic L-shaped molecular structure. tRNAs have two regions of fundamental functional importance: the anti-codon, which is responsible for specific mRNA codon recognition, and the 3' end, to which the tRNAs corresponding amino acid is attached (by aminoacyl-tRNA synthetases). tRNAs cope with the degeneracy of the genetic code in two manners: having more than one tRNA (with a specific anti-codon) for a particular amino acid; and 'wobble' base-pairing, i.e. permitting non-standard base-pairing at the 3rd anti-codon position. Lineage: Bacteria; Candidatus Magasanikiibacteriota. The record is from RNAcentral.
GCCGGAGUGGCGAAAUGGUAGACGCAACAGGCUUAGGACCUGUCGGGAGCAAUCCCAUGCCGGUUCAAUUCCGGCCUCCGGCA